GGAAGGAUCAUUACCGAAUUGUCAAACAUGGGUUGUUGCUGGCCCCCGAACGGGGCAUGUGCACGCUCUGUUUACACAUCCACUCACACCUGUGCACCCUCUGUAGUUCUGUGGACCGGGAGACGUCGUCUUCCUUCCGUAGCUCUACGUCUUUACACACACACCGUAGCGAUGUCUCAUGGAAUGUUUUUUCGCGUUUAACGCAAUACAAUACAACUUUCAGCAACGGAUCUCUUGGCUCUCGCAUCGAUGAAGAACGCAGCGAAAUGCGAUAAGUAAUGUGAAUUGCAGAAUUCAGUGAAUCAUCGAAUCUUUGAACGCACCUUGCGCCCCUUGGUUAUUCCUCGGAGCAUGCCUGUUUGAGUAUCAUGAACACCUCAACUCUCAUGGUCUUCCAUGAUGAGCUUGGACUUUGGGGGUUUGCUGGCCUUGUGGCCGGCUCCUCUCAAAUGAAUCAGCUUGCCAGUGUUUGGCGGCGUCACGGGUGUGAUAACUAUCUACGCUUGUGGUCGUCCACCAGGUAACCCUCAGCGAUGAAGGUUCAUUGGGGCUCAUAAACGUCUCUCCCCAGCGAGGACAACUUUUGAACGUUCGAUCUCAAAUCAGGUAGGACUACCCGCUGAACUUAAGCAUAUCAAUAAGCGGAGGAAAAGAAACUAACAAGGAUUCCCCUAGUAACUGCGAGUGAAGCGGGAAGAGCUCAAAUUUAAAAUCUGGCGUGCCUUUGGUCGUCCGAAUUGUAGUCUGGAGAAGCGUUUUCCGUGUUGGACCGUGUAUAAGUCUCUUGGAACAGGGCGUCAUAGAGGGUGAGAAUCCCGUCUUUGACACGGACUACCAAUGCUUUGUGAUGCGCUCUCAAAGAGUCGAGUUGUUUGGGAAUGCAGCUCAAAAUGGGUGGUAAAUUCCAUCUAAAGCUAAAUAUAGGCGAGAGACCGAUAGCGAACAAGUACCGUGAGGGAA
This 960-nucleotide ribosomal RNA is filed under the name uncultured fungus. Its description in RNAcentral is "eukaryotic LSU rRNA". The stretch from base 593 to 960 matches the Rfam family "Eukaryotic large subunit ribosomal RNA", at positions 1 to 361 of the family's 3401-position model. Lineage: Eukaryota; Fungi. The record is from RNAcentral.